RNAcentral lists this long non-coding RNA (321 nucleotides) under Elaeis guineensis (African oil palm). RNAcentral's name for it is "long non-coding RNA (EGUI_LNC037037)". The record is from RNAcentral. Lineage: Eukaryota; Viridiplantae; Streptophyta; Magnoliopsida; Arecales; Arecaceae.
CGCAGCUGGCAUGAUGAAAGCCAGUGGCAGGGGGGCAACCCUCUCGAAUUCGGAGAGGCUAAACUGGCGAUCGGCAGUGAUCGCCGACGUUGAAAAAUCAAAGAGAAGAAGAGACCAAACAAGGGGGUCCCUUCUCCGAUGAAAUCCGGCGACACCCAUCACCGGCUGUUGUGCACAGAGGCAUGGGAAGAAGGAGCGAGGAGAGAUGAGAGAGAAAGAGGAAGAAGGGGUUACCUCAGUCUUCGGUGAUCCCAUCGGUGGGAAAUCAUGGCGAGCACGAAUCAAGGGCCACAGCUUCAAUCAGAGAAAUUAGGGAGGAAA